RNAcentral lists this non-coding RNA (100 nucleotides) under bovine gut metagenome. RNAcentral's name for it is "THF riboswitch". It matches the Rfam family "THF (Tetrahydrofolate) riboswitch aptamer". Rfam says of the family: THF riboswitch presents a pseudoknot that joins P1-P2 and the loop of P3 and two THF binding. The record is from RNAcentral.
CAGAGUAGAAAGAGCGCGUCAAGUGCCGGGGAACGGGAUGUUGUCCACGGACGAAAGUGUCAGACAGGGGGACGCUGCGAUGCUCUUUCGCGUCCGCUGU